This is a small nuclear RNA of Ailuropoda melanoleuca (giant panda), 107 nucleotides long. NCBI's taxonomy places the organism in Eukaryota, Metazoa, Chordata, Mammalia, Carnivora, Ursidae. The record is from Ensembl.
AUGCUCACUUUGGCAGCACUUAUACUAAAAUUGAAUUAAUACAGAGAAGAUUAGCAUGGCGCAUGUGCAAGGAUGACAUGUGAAUUCGUGAUAUGUUCCAUAUUUUU